UGGGGAAUAUUGCACAAUGGGCGCAAGCCUGAUGCAGCCAUGCCGCGUGUAUGAAGAAGGCCUUCGGGUUGUAAAGUACUUUCAGCGGGGAGGAAGGGAGUAAAGUUAAUACCUUUGCUCAUUGACGUUACCCGCAGAAGAAGCACCGGCUAACUCCGUGCCAGCAGCCGCGGUAAUACGGAGGGUGCAAGCGUUAAUCGGAAUUACUGGGCGUAAAGCGCACGCAGGCGGUUUGUUAAGUCAGAUGUGAAAUCCCCGGACUCAACCUGGGAACUGCAUCUGAUACUGGCAAGCUUGAGUCUCGUAGAGGGGGGUAGAAUUCCAGGUGUAGCGGUGAAAUGCGUAGAGAUCUGGAGGAAUACCGGUGGCGAAGGCGGCCCCCUGGACGAAGACUGACGCUCAGGUGCGAAAGCGUGGGGAGCAAACA
Molecule: ribosomal RNA, 427 nt
Filed under: uncultured bacterium
Lineage: Bacteria
Description: partial 16S ribosomal RNA
Rfam family: Bacterial small subunit ribosomal RNA
Source: RNAcentral